UCUAUGACCCUCUCUAGCUAGAGUGAGAGAUGAGCAGUCUUAUAUGGUGAAUCAAGUUUGUAACUUAUUAGACAGGGUUUAGGACCUCUAUGUAAAACAUUGAUACUGACAUGAUAUUAUGAUCAUUGAAUAUGUGGAAUAAUUCUUAUACUUGAGAUAUUGGUUUCAUAUCCGCUACUACCGACUGAGGUGAUAAACAUGGUUACUACAGCAUGGUAGUCACCUACUUCUCUUAGGUAUAGGGCUUCAUUUCUCCUGGAAAUGUGACCAUCAUCAAUGACGCAUCAUUUCUCCUACUUUACUAUAGGGAAGUUAUGAAGCUGCUAUCUUUCAGACCCGUACAUGUAAAUCUCAAUCCAAACUUGGUCAAUAUUGUUGGUGUCGUUUUUUAGCACCAACGGGUCAACGAGAGUUCCGUUGAAAUCAUACUUGUAAAGUGGUGGGGGUAUUCUCUUGUAGCGGGUCUAUCUUCGCCCUUCGGCUAGUUUGACUAUUUCCAUGGUCUUGGCCGUCUAUCUCCGGCUGAUGCCGGGAUUCCGCGUACCACCUUGUGGUGGUCUUCCUCUUCUUGAAGGUGAGCUAGCUUCCUCUCUUUAAAGGUGAGCUAGCUUCCUCUACUUCAUUGGUGGACUUUCUCCACUCCUUUGGUGGACUUCCUUCGGCUAGUGUCGGGGUUCUGCGUACCACCUCGUGGUGGGCUUCCUCUCCUUGAGGGUGAGCUAGCUUCCUCCACUCCUUGAAAGCGAGCUAGCUUCCUCGCACCUUCUUCUUGGCGUUGGACAUCCGCCACUUGACUUGGGUCUUCUCUUCCUCAAGUUGGUGUACUUCCUCCAGCUGAUGGUCGGGGUUCCGCGUACCACCUCGUGGUGGGCUUCCUCUCUCUUGAAGGUGAGCUAGCUUCCUCUCCUUGAACGUGAGCUAGCUUCCUCUCCUUGAAGGUGAGCUAGCUUCCUCCACUCCUUGAAAGCGAACUAGCUUCCUCGCGCCUUCUUCUUGGCGUUGGACAUUUGCCACUUGACUUAGGUCUUCUCUUCCUCAAGUUGGUGGAGUGUCAUUGAAUGACCUGUUGACAUGUGAGCUAGGAGGUUAUCGGAGGACCAGCCUAAGGCUGGCCAAAUACUCUCCGACGCCUAAUUAAGUAAAGUGUUUGAACAAUAAGUAGAGAUCAGAAUAAAUAGGGCUCAAGUAUAACAUGAUUUUAUGAAAGGAGAUGAAUGAAUGUGCCUAGCAACUAUGCUUCUUGGCAUGGGAGGAGACCCUCUUCAUGUGCCUACAAAGAGAGAUGGAUAUAUAUAUAUAUAUAUAGCCCUUCUUGGCUGUGGACGUCCGCACAGAAGGUUUCGGUGCGGAUUUCUAUUUUUGCACCACUUUCUGAUCAAAUUUCCUCAUCUCCACCGUCUAGUAUCUAGAUAAUAUUGUGUAGAUCAUCUCUGCAAAAUUUCAGCCAAUUUGGUGAUCGUUAAGACCCUCAAACUCGAGUUUUUCUGAUAUGAACACAACCAGACAGAAUUCAGUCCGUCCAUUUGUUUUUCGAGUUUGAGGACCUUAAUGAUUACCAAAUUAGCUGAAAUUUUGCAGAGAUGAUCUACGCAAUAUUAUCUAGAUACUAGACGGUGGAGAUGAGAAAAUUCGAUCGAAAUAUGGUGCAAAAAUGGAAAACCGCACCAAAACUUUGGUGCAGACGUCCGCACCUAAGAAUUCCUGUAUAUAUACAUAUGUAUAUAUAUAUGUAAGUAUAUACACAUACAUAGAGAGAGAGACAGAGAGAGAGAGAGAGAGAGUGUGUGUGUGUUGUUGUAAUUGAGGAAAAAGAGAGAAGAAUGGAAUUGUGUCUAUGCCUUCAGCCUUGGGAAGGCUUGAUAUUUAUAGGAAGAGAGGUUGGUGAUGUGGAAAGAAAGAGCAUGGGCUCAGCAUGGCUCUUCCCCAAAUGAGGGUGUCAGCCUUGCUUUCUGACAUUCCAAGAUGGGUUUGGUAGAGUUGGUAACACGUGUCGACACUAUGUGGUCUCUUCUUAUUAAAUUAAUUUUUGGCCAUGCCUUCGUGACACGUGAGGAAGGUGGGUGACAGGUAAACCAUUAGCUGACAUGUCUCUAUGCGACUCUUGGACGUCCAAGAGAGAGUUUGAAGGUUGAGGCUCUUAAGCCUUGAAGGUCGAACUCUUGGUCUUGGACGUCGAAGUAUCGACCUUGAAGGUUGAGGUUCUUAAGCCUUGAAGGUCGAACUCCUGGUCUUAGAGGUCGAAGUAUCGACCUUGGAGGUUGAGGCUCUAGACCCAUUUAGACUAUACUUCUCUAAUGAUUCGCUCACAAUAUGCUCUAAUCUUACCACACUAGCUAGAAGGUGAGGUAACCACUUGGUGGCAUGCCAAGACACUUGGUGAUAGUCCAAGAAAGACUUUGGAUGCUAGGUUGGGCAUCUCACUAUUAUUUACGUGUGAGGAUCAUCUUUAUUUCUCGAAUAAUGGUUUGGGUGCUUUGAAAGGUUAGAGUCAUACGUGGAUCUUUGAUAUUUCAACGCUUCCUACGUGGAAUGGGUUGAAAAGUCAAGUUUCGUUGUCAAACCAAAUUAUGACACCAACAAGCCCCCAGUUCCCUAGACAUCCAAGGCCUUUGUUGGAUAGGGAACUCAAUUGGAAGAAGAAUUUGGUGAACCUAAAAAAUUGAGUAAGUGGUUUUUGUUGAAAUGACAAGAGUUGAUUGCAUAUGAAAUCAAUCUUGUCGCGUCGAGGUAAGUUUUCUAGGGUGGAUGACCAUCUUAUUGCUAGCUCAAAGGUUGGGACAAUGAAGGUCCUAAGUGGGUUAUGUCGAUCAUCCUCGACUUCAAGUAAUGAUAUCCUUCAUUGGUGAAGUAGUUCUUCAAAGGAGACUAAAUCCUUGGUGAGUGUCUCGAAUAGAUAAAGAGUUGCACCAUUGUUAAAGGGUGAGCAAGGAUUAAACUUCUUCGUUUUUGUUUCCCUUUGAGUUCUAAAUAUUGACUCUAAUUUUGCAUCUAAGAGCACUAUCCCUACUCUUGCUAAUUCCGCUAAACGAUUAGCAUGAAGUAUAAGGGAAUGUAUGACCUCUAGCUAUUGUUCGGUCUAAAAUACUCACUAUUCGCUUUGGUGAGUGGGUGUCCAAGAGCUGUGAACGCUCUUCAUAAUCCCUAAGACUCACUCAGCUGGUAUGUCAAGUGAGUUGGACCUCGAGGGCACCCUUGAGGAUUGGUCUCAGAGAGACUCUUUUUCUGGUAGCUUAAGUAGGUUACCUUGUGUGCACUCUGUGAAUUGGUCUCGGCUAGCGAGGCUCUUUCAUCUGGUGGCUCAAGUUCAUGAGUGUUGGAUGAUCAAGGGUGUCUAUUAUACAAGCUACUAACUAGUACUACUUUUAUCUUGGAUGGACUUUUGCUGAGAUAGCUAUACCUUUGUGUUCCAAUAAACUUCUAGGAGUUUACGUAAUAGACUUGUGGAACUGGUACUCCAUUUGGUCCGCGUUUGGGCAUUGACACAUGUUCAUCAGUAAUGAGCUGACGUAACAAAAACUGAGUAGUCAUAUGCUUAGCAUGGGGGUCUUUGCCGAAUUGUCGAAUAGAUGGAUAUAUUUUCAUGCUAAUUCGUUUGUGCAAAUUCCGAUCUCAACAUGAUUCAUAGUAUGCAAAUAGUAGAUAGAUAUAUAGUUCUUAUAAGAUAUAACAUUGUACAAGAUAUAUAGAUAUAUAUAGGUUAAUACUUAAUAUAGUUGGGUCCCUUACUGUCACAUCCCGACUCUUAAAUUUUUACCUUAAUUACUAGCUUUGGUAUUUAAUAAGAAUUUUACCGUCUCCGUCAAUGAGGUUAUAGUUUAAUUGGUCCUUAAAAGGGUUUUGGGGGACGAUUAUUUCAGAGAAUUAUGCGUAGGAGAAAAAUGUGACGACGGUAAAAAUAAUAAAUGUUGACUAAUAAAAGGUAAUUUUUUUUUAGUGGUGUAUUAUUUUGUAGGGUUAUUUUGGAGUUGGGUUUAUAUUUUUGGUGUGGUUAUAUUGGUGUUGGACCGGUUUGGGGAGGCCCAAACCAUUUCUCUUCUUUCUCCCUUCUCCUCUUCCUUCUGACGCUAUCUCUCUCUCUCCCGCUGCCAAUUUUUCUUCUCCUCCGGCCGCCGUUGACCGGUUGAGCUAGGCCACCGUACCGGUCACUUUUGGACCGCUGUCCUUCCCUCUCUAGUCCUGGGUUGGUGACUGCCCCUCUCCCGUCGGCAUCUGCAAGUUAUCACGGCAAGGAGUCGUGGUGGUCCUUUCACCGGAACUCUCUCCUCCGGCCACCAUAGUCUAAGCUACUUGACUCAAUAGGAAGCUCUCCUCCCGUGCAUCAAUCCCUCAAAAGGUCUCACCCUCUCUUGAGCUAGGUAAGGAGAAAUAUGGAGUUGAAAAUUCUAGGGCUCAUUUCGAUUACCCUAUCUAGGCUUAGAAUUUGUGUUUGUGCUAGUUAGGAAAGUUGUAGAGGGAGUUGAGAGAAAAAUGCUGUCAAAAUUUGGUAGGCAUUGGAGGUUGCCGGAGUCGGUCUCCGGCCGCCGCCAUUGUUUAGUAGUUGGUUAUAUUAAGGGGAGUUAUUGAUGAGAAUUUUGGAAUUUUUGGAGGAGUUUUGGAUAGGUUUGGGGAUUUUUAAAGCUUAGUAAUUUUGGCGGUUAUUUAAGGUAGAAUCCGGCCGUUAGAUUAAAGUUGUAUAAUCUGUAGAAGGUUGAAUUAAAGCUGCUAGUAUAUUCGGUGAAGUUUGGACCAUAUUGAGUUAAGAAUGGUGAAGUUGGGCAAUGAUGAGUGUGUUUGAGGCUCACAUUUAAUUUUGCCUAUUUUGUGUAAGUUUUGGAUUUUUGGUUGGGAAAUUAAUUAUAUAUUUGGAACAGGACGUGAGGAGGCUCGAGCUGAAGAGGCCUGGGAGCGACAUCAGACUUAGGCCUAUUUUGUGAGUGGACUUUUGUUUUAAUUAAAAGCAUGCGAUGCAUUAUAUUGAUGAUCAUUUAUUCUUUUGCUGAGAUUUAUUGCUUUCUUGGAUAUUUGGCAAUUUUCCUCUUUUGGAAAGUUCCCGAAAAUGAGAUUUUCGGUCGAUAUGUAUAUUGGAUGUUAUGAGUAUAGCAUAUAUAUAAAUGCUAGCUAGCCAUACGUGCUUGGUCCGUCAUAAUGAGGUAAAAUUCCAUUAUGGUGUGACGUGAGUGUUAGACACAAAUGUCAUGGCCCUAUAUGAAAACUACUUUCUUAUUUGGUUCUUAUAGGUUUUCAUAUAGGGAGUCCACACGUAUAAACACCCGUUCUCUUCGGUCAUAAUGAGGAAAAAUUCCAUUGUGGCGCCACAUGAGCGUUUGACGCAAGCGUCGUAGCCUUGUAUGAAUUUCUAUUUUUCUAUUUUGUUCAUAGAAUUCGUACAAAGAGUCUGAUGAGUGUACAUACAUAUAUAUAUAUAUAUAUAUAUAUUUAUAUAUAGUUUAGCCUGAGAGGCUGUAUUUUAUUGAGUUUUGGAGACUGGCCGAAGCUAGUCAUGUAUUUGCCAGUUUAUGAAUAAAAAGCUUUGAGCUGUCGUAUGCAGCAUAUUUUUCUUUGGAAAUUAAAAUGGGAAUGCAUAAAUAUUCACUUAUUAAUUUAUUUUUAUCCACUCAUUCUAACGGUUUCAAAUGUUUUCCCCUGGGCCCUUCGUUUUAAAAUGCCCAGUCUGCAGAGUGCAGGUUGGAUCUAGUAGGAGGCGAGGCAUAGUCACCCAUUUCUCCACCACCUUUCAUCAGUAGGUUACUGUUAACCUACCAACAUAUUUUUCUUGCUUCCUCUAGUUUUAGCGGCUCUGAUUACCUGGAGGAUAAUGUAUAUUAGCUCGGUUGUGUGCUAAGUCUUGGAUUUUAAAUUUGGAAUAUUUGAAGGUUGAAGUUUGUUAUUUCUAAUUGGAUAUUUAUGUGAUGGAUUAGAAGAUGGUUUUAUUAUAUUGUUGUGGUGGUUGUAUUGUGGGGAGCGGGUGGCUCCAGGAGUUGAGGUUGGAUGUGUCAUUAUAGGAGUGUGGUUUGAAUUUUUUCAGGUUAGGGUUGUCUAUUUUUAAGGGAGGUUAUGUCGAAUUUUUCGGUAAGUUUUCCUUGGAGGUGGUCCCUGCAGGACUUACUUUGGGUUUCAGGGUGAAAUUCAGGGUGGGUCUUGACACUGACCUUCUAAGACCAACUUAUUCCUAUUGGUGCUCAAAGAACUUAUCAGUCUUGGCAUGUCGAUCAAGAAAAUCCUUAAGAAUAUGUAGGGUGCAUUGUAAUAACUAUAUUAGGUCUAUUAUUUAAUUGAGAAUAGGGUGUACCGACUGAAACGUAGCUUGCUCCUUUGAAUGUGACUCGUUGCGGAUGGUGUCGCGUGGACAUUCUCUUGGUGUAAGACUGUGGGCUGAACGCUCUUCCUUCUUCUAAGGUUGGCUCUCGUCAAUGAGUUCGACUCGGGUGGUGGUGUUCUAGCAACGCUGAAUUCCAAGAUUGUUCGUCUAGGCAUAUCAAUAUAAAUUGAUUUGGUCCUUGAUGCAUCUUGAUGUGUCAGUUGGCAGAGUGAGUGUCACCGUUGAAUUUAGACCAUGUAGAGGAUGCUCAAGGUCUUUCCACUGGUGGUGCAGAUUUUAUGGCCGUCGGGAGUCUAGCGCACAUUGGCGUUAUGAGCGAGGCCAAUCUCUUAACCAUUAGAUGAUGGUGUAUUGGAACACCAGAAUCAUGGAUGACAUCCUUCUAAAGGAAUUGUGGUUGGCGAUGGUAUGCUUAUGAGGUUGAUCGAUCACCUUGGUGGGCUGUCUUCUAAUGACUUGCAUGUCGAAGGUACAGCCAUUGCCGAGCCUUUAGGGGUCUACUCCACGCCUCGAGUUACCUCUUCAUGUCUUCAAGUGUCGAUCCUUGUUCUUUGUCAUCAGUUUCAACGACAUACUCUUGAGUUGCAUUUCCAUCAUCCUCUUAUUCCACCGUGCGGUAAGGCCUUCUUUGGUGGAAGUUGAAAUUGCCAAUGAAGGUGAAAGGUGAGGGAAACCCACGUCCCUCCCUAGAAGUGGAUUGAUCUUCAGUGGCAUGCGAGCAACAAGGCUCAAGCGUAGCGCUGUUGAUGAAGCAUCACUUGUACGCAUUCGUGCAUUGGUUGUUCGCAUUGUUAGCUACAUCUUAUCAAUGUAAGCUAAAAUCUCUCCAAUCUUUGUUUUGGUGGUGGCCAUUAACGAUAGACUUCUCGCUCCCAUAAGUGGUUCGAGGUACUUGAUACUUCAUUGAGCGGUGGUCGCAUAUCACCAUGGAAUUUGAAGUAGCCUCAUCGACUGUGUGUCUAAGGUUCAUCCAUGUCUUGGUUGGUCGUCAUAUAGUGACUUGGAUGUUGAAGACAGGGUCAUUGUAGCACCUCCAAUGGAGAUAUUCUCCAUGUCAAGUAGCAUGCUUAACAUCCAUGCAAAUUUCUUGAAAACAUCGUUUGUCAAAUCUAUAACCUUCAAUUGGAUCAUCGUCUCCCGACUUACAUUAUAGUGGUGGCGCUCUGAUGAUGAUAAUAUGAUCGUCUCCCUCUAACGAUGAUAGAUAUAAGUGAAGGUGUGCUAGUUCUGCUCAUCUGCCUUCUGGGUUUCUUCCUCGUUGGUGGCAUGUCAGGGAUGUUGAGGGAGUACACAUGACAACUCGGCGUCAAGAGUGGGUUGGCUCAUCUUCCGUUGAAUGGAGGUAUAUGGACUAAGAUUCUUGAAUAUGAAUGUCGAAUAUCCAAGCUCCAAUUAGUGCGGAAGGUGGAAAGCCAUGUUGAUUUGGCAAGCGUUAGUGGAUCUCCUUUCCUUCGCUGCUUGAAAGCGUGGUCUAAUCCUCCUUGUGCUCUUUUUCAUAACCUUGUGCUCUUUCUCAUAUUUGGGUGCAACUCAAAGUCGUAGGCAAGACAUCGAACAUUGAAGCUCUUCUUCUGCUUCUAAGGCUACUCAUAUGCAUGAUGUAACCUUCCUUCUUCAUCGAACAAGUGAGCACGCGCUAAGUGUUCAUUUUCCCACAGACGGCGCCAUUUUGUUGGUGUCGUUUUUUAGUACCAACGGGUUAACGAGAGUUCCGUUGAAAUCAUACGUGUAAAGUGGUGGGGGUAUUCUUUUGUAGCGGGUCUAUCUUCGCCCUUCGGCUAGUUUGACUAUUUCCAUGGUCUUGGUCGUCUAUCUCUGGCUGAUGCCGGAAUUCCGCGUACCACCUUGUGGUGGUCUUCCUCUCCUUGAAGGUGAGCUAGCUUCCUCUACUUCAUUAGUGAACUUUCUCCACUCCUUUGGUAGACUUUCUUCGGCUAGUGUCGGGGUUCCGCGUACCACCUCGUGGUGGGCUUCCUCUCCUUGAGGGUGAGCUAGCUUCCUCUACUCCUUGAAAGCGAGCUAGCUUCCUUGCGCCUUCUUCUUGGCGUUGGACAUCGCCACUUGAUUUGGGUCUUAUCUUCCUCAAGUUGGUGUACUUCCUCCAGCUGAUGUCAGGCUUCCACGUACCACCUCGUGGUGGGCUUCCUCUCUCUUGAAGGUGAGCUAGCUUCCUCUCCUUGAAGGUGAGCUAGCUUCCUCCACUCCUUGAAAGCGAGCUAGCUUCCUUGUGUCUUCUUCUUGGCGUUGGAUAUCUGUCACUUGACUUGGGUCUUCUCUUCCUCAAGUUGGUGGAGUGUCAUUGAAUGACCUGUUGACAUGUGAGCUAGGAGGUUAUCGGAGGACCAGCCUAAAGCCGGCCAAAUACUCUCCGACGCUUAAGUCAGUAAAGUGUUUGAACAAUAAGUAGAGAUUGGAGAAGAAUAAAUAGGACUCAAGUAUAACAUGAUUUUGUGAAAGAAGAUGAAUGAAUGUGCCUAGCAACUAUGCUUUUUGGCAUGGGAGGAGACCCUCUUCAUGUGCCUACAAAGAGAGAUGGAUAUAUAUAUAUAUAUAUAUAUGUAUAUACAGCUCUUCUCGGCUGCGGACGUCCGCACCAACGGUUUUGGUGCGGAUUUCCAUUUUUGCACCACUUUCUGAUCGAAUUUCCUCAUCUCCACCGUAUAGUAUCUAGAUAAUAUUGUGUAGAUCAUAUCUGUAAAAUUUCAGCUAAUUUGGUGAUCGUUAAGGCCCUCAAACUUGAGUUUUUCUGGUAUGAACACAACCGGAUAGAAUUCAGUCCGUCCAUUUGUUUUUCGAGUUUGAAGACCUUAACGAUCACCAAAUUGGCUGAAAUUUUGCAGAGAUGAUCUACACAAUAUUAUCUAGAUACUAGACGGUAGAGAUGAGGAAAUUCGAUCAAAAAGUGGUGCAAAAAUGGAAAUCCGCACCAAAAAAUUGGUGCGGACGUCCACAGCUGAGAAAAUCCGUAUGUAUAUAUAUAUAUGUAAGUAUAUACACAUACAUAUAUAUAUAUAUAUAUAUAGAGAGAGAGAGAGAGAGAGAGAGAGAGAGAGAGAGAGAGAGUGUGUGUGUGUGUGUGUGUGUUGUUGUUGUAAUUGAGGAAGAAGAGAGAAGAAUGGAAUUGUGUCUAUGCCUUCAGCCUUGGGAAAGCUUGAUAUUUAUAGGAAGAGAGGUUGGUGAUGUGGAAAGGAAGAGCAUGGGCUCAGCAUGGCUCUUCCCCAAAAUCAGGGUAUCAGCCUUGCUUCCUAACAUUCCAAGAUGUGUUUAGCAGAGUUGGUAACACGUGUCGACACUAUGUGGUUUCUUCUUAUCAAGUCAGUCUUGAGCCAUGCCUUUGUGACACGUGAGGAAGGUGGGUGAUGGGUAAACCAUUAGCAGACAUGUCUCUAUGCGACUCUUGGACGUCCAAAAGAGAGUUUGAAGGUUGAGGCUCUUAAGCCUUGAAGGUCGAACUCUUGGUCUUGGAGGUCGAAGUAUCGACCUUGGAGGUUGAGGCUCUAGACCCAUUUAGACUGUACUUCUCUAAUGAUUUGCUCACAAUAUGCUCUAAUCUUACCACGCUAGCUAGAAGGUGAGGUAACCACUUGGUGGCAUGCCAAGACACUUGGUGAUAGUCCAAGAAAGACUUUGGAUGCUAGGUUGGGCAUCUCACUAUUAUUUACGUGUGAGGAUCAUCUUUAUUUCUCGAAUAAUGGUUUGGGUGCGUUGAAAGGUUAGAGUCAUACGUGACUCUUUGACAUUUCAACGCUUCCUACGUGGAAUGGGUUGAAAAGUCAAGUUUCGUUGUCAAACCAAAUUAUGACACCAACAAAUAUCUCUUCGGCGGUUUCACCUGGGUGUUUGCGGCAGUGGUGUAUUCACUCAAACAGAAGUAUACAAAUUUCGAAAACCUGUAGAAGCACUCUCAUUUUCGGCAACUUGGCAGCAUUGCACAUGACUACCAGUACGUACUACUUGCGGUACAGGUUCUAAUCAACCAGUUCUUGACAUGCUGGAUCAAUGCAUUGGCAUUUCCAUGUGCAGCAUUUCCAUUUUGAGUCGAUUGCCAAAUGGUGGAAAGGUUUUAUCUUUUAUCAUGUGUUUCAACGAACAAGACCUUUGGAUUUGAUUGAUGUGUCGCAGCAUAGCCAUUUUUACUCUCAUUUUAACUAUGAACACGAGAUGCAGGAGGAAUGUCUACCAGUUAUGUUAAACAUACAUGUGGUUCAGUUGAGUAUCUAGUACAAUUUUGUUGGUUGGGUUCAGGGUGGGUUCCUGCUGAUGUUGUUUGAGUGCACCAUGUUAGUAAUUUGGUGUAGAUAAUUAAUUGCUUUUUCAAAUAUGUAUGAUGUUUCACUUGCACUGGAAUUUAACUUAAAUGGGGUGUCGGCCUCAUACUUGGUAUAUGCUUCUGAGCAAUGGUAUGCACUUGCAUUUCUGAGUUUUCAUAUCAGUUCUGAUCCUUUCUAGCUUUCUGCUAAA
Molecule: long non-coding RNA, 10759 nt
Filed under: Fragaria vesca (wild strawberry)
Lineage: Eukaryota; Viridiplantae; Streptophyta; Magnoliopsida; Rosales; Rosaceae
Description: long non-coding RNA (FVES_LNC000970)
Source: RNAcentral